GACGAACGCUGGCGGCGUGCUUAACACAUGCAAGUCGAACGGAAAGGCCCUGCUUUUGUGGGGUGCUCGAGUGGCGAACGGGUGAGUAACACGUGAGUAACCUGCCCUUGACUUUGGGAUAACUUCAGGAAACUGGGGCUCAUACCGGAUAGGAGCUCCUGCUGCAUGGUGGGGGUUGGAAAGUUUCGGCGGUUGGGGCUGGACUCGCGGCUUAUCAGCUUGUUGGUGGGGUAGUGGCUUACCAAGGCUUUGACGGGUAGCCGGCCUGAGAGGGUGACCGGCCACAUUGGGACUGAGAGACGGCCCAGACUCCUACGGGAGGCAGCAGUGGGGAAUAUUGCACAAUGGGCGGAAGCCUGAUGCAGCAACGCCGCGUGCGGGAUGACGGCCUUCGGGCUGUAAACCGCUUUCGCCUGUGACGAAGCGUGAGUGACGGUAAUGGGUAAAGAAGCACCGGCUAACUACGUG
RNAcentral lists this ribosomal RNA (468 nucleotides) under uncultured bacterium. RNAcentral's name for it is "partial 16S ribosomal RNA". It matches the Rfam family "Bacterial small subunit ribosomal RNA", at positions 28 to 507 of the family's 1533-position model. The record is from RNAcentral.